Non-coding RNA from Pelobates cultripes (western spadefoot toad), 232 nucleotides. NCBI's taxonomy places the organism in Eukaryota, Metazoa, Chordata, Amphibia, Anura, Pelobatidae. The record is from the annotation of a GenBank genome assembly.
AUUUAUGAAGAAUAGGUUAUUGAAAACAUAAUUACCAGUGAACGUUGUCUUGAUGAUUUGAGGUUGUUGAAUGUUUGCUAGUUGAGUAAAAAUCUCUUUUAAGUUGUAAUGAGAAAGACAAUGGAAUGUUGUUUGAAUAAAUUGUUCAAAAAUAUGUUUUGUUUAAUUGUUGCAAUUGUCAUGCAAUAUAUGACUAAUUAAUCUUCUCUGUUAUUAGAGCAUUACAACAAGG